Molecule: long non-coding RNA, 1172 nt
Organism: Clupea harengus (Atlantic herring)
Lineage: Eukaryota; Metazoa; Chordata; Actinopteri; Clupeiformes; Clupeidae
Source: Ensembl
UGAAGAGUCAUCAGGGAAGGGAGUGGGAGGGCACACAGUACAGCUGAUCAUUGAAGGUACCUCCACUGUGUCUGUCCCACCAACUAACCAGACUAACACGACUCUUCUCUCUACCCACCCAGGUACCUCAGAGACGGGUCCCUCAGUGAUGGUAAUAGUUAUUUGUGUGUUAUUAUCCCUGACUGUGUGUCUGUGUGUCGCUGUGGGGAUGUUCUACAUCAGAAUGAAAAAGAGGAACACACACACUCCAGUGAGUGAAAAGAAAGAGCCUGACGAUUUGGUGUACGUCCAGGUGACCACUAGUAGCAACGGCAGAAGACAAAUAUCAGACAUUCAAGGUACAAGAGUGGAAACAGAGGAUGUGGUGUAUUCUGGCGUUGCCAUGGCAAAUAGGAGCAGCAGGCAUAAAAGCAGGAAGCCACCAGCAGGUGAGUCUCUGAAAGAGGGUAUUUAUUCACACACACACACUUACACACACACAUACACACAAAGACACACAUAUACUUACAGACAUGUGUAUAAUAUAAUGUAGUAUAAUAAUCAGAAUUUAAGUGUAUUGAAAUCAUCUGUGCUGUGUUGCAUUGUCUCACUUGACUUACAUUUACAUUUACAUUUAGUCAUUUAGCAGACGCUUUUGUCCAAAGCGACGUACAAGGGAGAAAACAGUCAAGCUAAGAGCAAUAAAAAACAUGGUGUAAAAAUAAAUACUACUUUACAUAAGAAUUAGAAAAACGACCUAGAAAGGAAAAAGAAGUGCAGGAAUGUAACUGCUGAAGUGCAAGUUAAGCGCUAGUCAAGGUGCCAGUUAGGAAGGGAGGACUUACAGAGAAGAAAGCUACUGAUCUAUAUAAAAUACAGAACAGACCAUUGCCAUGAGGAGCAUUGUAACUGGUUCAGUAAUGUCAAAGUAUCAGCAGAGUGAGAACAUGUUAGACUGGUUAGCCCCUGUUAAGGACAGAUGCCCAUGGUGUGCAGACUAACUAGAUAAGUGACGGCUGGUCAAACUUGGAGAAAAGGAAGUUAGAUACUGCAACAAAGACUAACACAAACGCUGUGAGCUCUUUUUUGUGUCCAGAAGCAGGUCUCAGUUCUGAUACGUUAGUGUCAGUAUCAUGACUUAAGUGAGUGUUCAGUUUUUGGGAUAAGUAGCCCGUAUUCACAAACAACCGAUA